RNAcentral lists this ribosomal RNA (484 nucleotides) under uncultured bacterium. RNAcentral's name for it is "partial 16S ribosomal RNA". It matches the Rfam family "Bacterial small subunit ribosomal RNA", at positions 30 to 507 of the family's 1533-position model. The record is from RNAcentral.
AUUGAACGCUGGCGGCAGGCCUAACACAUGCAAGUCGAGCGGAUGAAGGGAGCUUGCUCCUGGAUUCAGCGGCGGACGGGUGAGUAAUGCCUAGGAAUCUGCCUGGUAGUGGGGGAUAACGUCCGGAAACGGGCGCUAAUACCGCAUACGUCCUGAGGGAGAAAGUGGGGGAUCUUCGGACCUCACGCUAUCAGAUGAGCCUAGGUCGGAUUAGCUAGUUGGUGGGGUAAAGGCCUACCAAGGCGACGAUCCGUAACUGGUCUGAGAGGAUGAUCAGUCACACUGGAACUUAGACACGGUCCAGACUCCUACGGGAGGCAGCAGUGGGGAAUAUUGGACAAUGGGCGGAAGCCUGAUCCAGCCAUGCCGCGUGUGUGAAGAAGGUCUUCGGAUUGUAAAGCACUUUAAGUUGGGAGGAAGGGCAGUAAGUUAAUACCUUGCUGUUUUGACGUUACCAACAGAAUAAGCACCGGCUAACUUCGUG